Long non-coding RNA from Oncorhynchus tshawytscha (Chinook salmon), 648 nucleotides. Lineage: Eukaryota; Metazoa; Chordata; Actinopteri; Salmoniformes; Salmonidae. The record is from Ensembl.
GUGUGUUCUAGUGGGUCUGGGCAGGUGUGAUGUAGUUAAUGGAGAUGGAGGUGUGUUCUAGUGGGUCUGGACAGGUGUGAUGUAGUUAAUGGAGAUGGAGGUGUGUUCUAGUGGGUCUGGACAGGUGUGACGUAGUUAAUGGAGAUGGAGGUGUGUUCUAGUGGGUCUGGGCAGGUGUGAUGUAGUUGAUGGAGAUGAAGGUGUGUUCUAGUGGGUCUGGGCUGGUGUGAUGUAGUUAAUGGAGAUGGAGGUGGGUUCUAGUGGGUCUGGGAAGGUGUGAUGUAGUUAAUGGAGAUGGAGGUGUGUUCUAGUGGGUCUAGGCAGGUGUGAUGUGGUUAAUGAAGAUGAAGGUGUGUUCUAGUGGGUCUGGGCAGGUGUGAUGUAGUUAAUGGAGAUGGAGGUGUGUUCUAGUGGGUCUGGGCAGGUGUGAUGUAGUUAAUGGAGAUGGAGGUGUGUUCUAGUGGGUCUGGGCAGGUGUGAUGUAGUUAUUGAUGUAGCAGUGAUUUGUAGAUCAAUCAGUCGCCUGCAGUGUCAAACAAGCCCAAUACCAAACUAAUCAGGUGGUUGUUCGACGAAAUGAAGCUUCACGUGCUGCUGAUAAAGUGAUACAGGCAUCAGCACACUGUUUAGUGAUUUGGACGCGGCUCG